RNAcentral lists this ribosomal RNA (433 nucleotides) under uncultured bacterium. RNAcentral describes it as "partial 16S ribosomal RNA". It matches the Rfam family "Bacterial small subunit ribosomal RNA", at positions 29 to 507 of the family's 1533-position model. The record is from RNAcentral.
AACGAACGCUGGCGGCAUGCCUAACACAUGCAAGUCGAACGAGACCUUCGGGUUUAGUGGCGCACGGGUGCGUAACGCGUGGGAACCUGCCCUUAGGUUCGGAAUAACUCCCCGAAAGGGGUUCUAAUACCGGAUAAUGUCUUCGGACCAAAGAUUUAUCGCCUUUGGAUGGGCCCGCGUUGGAUUAGCUAGUUGGUAGGGUAAAAGCCUACCAAGGCGACGAUCCAUAGCUGGUCUGAGAGGAUGAUCAGCCACACUGGGACUGAGACACGGCCCAGACUCCUACGGGAGGCAGCAGUUGGGAAUAUAGGACAAGGGGCGAAAGCCUGAUACAGCGAGGCCGCGUUAGUGAUGAAGGCCUUGGGGUUGUAAAGCUCUUUUACCCGGGAUGAUAAUGACAGUACCGGGAAAAUAAGCACCGGCUAACUCCGUG